RNAcentral lists this small nuclear RNA (23 nucleotides) under Arabidopsis thaliana (thale cress). RNAcentral's name for it is "snRNA_11432". Lineage: Eukaryota; Viridiplantae; Streptophyta; Magnoliopsida; Brassicales; Brassicaceae. The record is from RNAcentral.
AUAGAGUAUAUAUACAAAAUAAC